Molecule: ribosomal RNA, 246 nt
Filed under: uncultured Glomus
Lineage: Eukaryota; Fungi; Glomeromycota; Glomeromycetes; Glomerales; Glomeraceae
Description: partial 18S ribosomal RNA
Rfam family: Eukaryotic small subunit ribosomal RNA
Source: RNAcentral
UUGGAGGGCAAGUCUGGUGCCAGCAGCCGCGGUAAUUCCAGCUCCAAUAGUGUAUAUUAAAGUUGUUGCAGUUAAAAAGUUCAUAGUUGAAUUUCGGGGUUAGUAGGCUGGUUAUAAACUGAACUCUGACGGGUUAUGUACUGGUCUUACUAAUUCCUCCUUCCUGAUGAACUGUAGUGCCAUUAAUUUGGUGUUGCAGGGAAUCUGGACUGUUACUUUGAAAAAAUUAGAGUGUUUAAAGCAGGC